This is a long non-coding RNA of Sceloporus undulatus (fence lizard), 596 nucleotides long. RefSeq lists it as uncharacterized. Lineage: Eukaryota; Metazoa; Chordata; Lepidosauria; Squamata; Phrynosomatidae. The transcript has 3 exons. The record is from RefSeq and is a predicted model, not a curated record.
AGACUCAGACUGAACAUCCCUUCAAAUACAGAGGAUUGCCCUCCAGCAUAUGACCACCCAGUGGCAGGGGGAGGGAGACUGUGUGCUACCUAAGAUAAAUUAUUGCUGGUGUAUUCUACAGUCUCCUUGAAUGGCUUCUGUAAUAUUUAAAAACAGGCUUACGGGCAGUUUACCUACUUCAGGAAGGUGUGUUACUUGCAAACUUGUAUCACUUUCCUUAAACUGGUCUUGAAGUGCCCCCAUCUGGCAUGGAAAAAUAUUGCUGCUGCUUCUUAUGAUCUGUAACGAAGCCUGAAGGAAGGAAAAUUGGAAGGAAGUGAUAACAGAGGUAAAAUACUGCCAAGAACAGACUGAAAGAUCUCAUUUGUCUCUUUUAAUAGUUCCAGACCUAAUUAAGACCUUUAUAUUGCAAAUGUCCUGGAGGCUAUUUGUGCUAAAUAAAGCCUGGUACCCACAGAAACAGAAAAUGGGGCAGUAAAACUGUUUCUAGAUGGUGUGCUGUUCAAUAGUCUCUGUGAGAAAAAUAUGUCUAUGUGUCCUAAAUACAAUGAAAUGUAUUUUUAAUAUUAAACAGUUUUUCUCUUUAUUGUUGCCUA